GCGUGAUACAGAGCAGGCCCACAGUCGACCCCAAACAGAUCCUCUCAUUUCACCACUUAUAGUCGACCGACGGCUUUGGCAUUUCUAACAGAUUACCCUCACAUUAGAUCCUCCCCUUCACUCUUACCUACAGCACUUAUACCGAAGCGCUUUGUCCAGCUAGUGGACGAACCCCAACGGUGGAGCUCAUCGUUGUGUUAAAGUUGCGGUGCUGCAGAGUCACACCCAGCUCUAUUUUUUCUCCCCCCUUCACUCCCCCCCCCCCCCCCCCACAGCACCUUGCCUUGUUAAUCUAAUUUCACGCUUCACUUCCACAGGAAAUGACCUCGUCCUGCGAGCAGUGUGAUGUGGAGUGGAUAAAGAAGGUGGGGGACGAACAGGUUAACCUGGCCCUGGCCUACACCGAGCUGACGGAGGAGCUAGGCCGGCUCCAAGCUCUGAGCUCCAAGCAGACGGAGAUCCUGAGGAAAGCCUCGCAGGAGCAAGCUAGCCCAGGUUAGCGUUAGCCUAGCCUGCUGCGUGAGACACCCCCUCCACACUCUGAUUGGUUCGCUGUGUGAUGGACGUCUGUGCACUUCAUGCUGGGCUUGAACCCAUGAACAAACAGGACUCAGUUUAUUUGAAAACAGAUGGGCAGACAUCAUCGUAGAUCGAGUUGGAUCUAACACAUCUUCAGUGAUUUGCCAGGCGUGCAUUAACACUAGAUUCUGUUCGGAUCUAAUAUUAAAUGAACACGGUGGCUCUAAACACAAGGAUAUUAUUAACGAUGAAACGUUAUUUAAAUGUACGUUGUACUCAACAUAACCUGAUAUAAUACUGAGCCAAGUGUGAUGUUUGAUUUUAGUCCAGUUCAAAAGAAUAUCAAUGAUCACGCACACAAACAUCAACGAUCAGGCCCACAAAAAUCAACACAUCGUUAACAUCAAAAGAUGAACCUGAAUGUGUUGUGUUGUGUUGUGUUGUGUUGUGCUUGAGUCACACCUUAUUUUUAGCCCAGUGCUUGAUUAAAGUCUAUUUACUUUUAACUAUGCGCGUCUCCCCCUGGCUCUCAUUCGCUUUAAAAAUCACACACACUUUCAGAGGUCUGCGUCUCUCGUCGCGAACCAUCAGCCCGGCCGCGGGGUUUAGCUCCACAGCGCGCUGGUGGCACAGCUCCCGUCGGUGGUUUCCUUACUAUUAAGAGCGUGUUGUGUGAUACACAGGAUGCCCCCCCCUCCCCGUCUCUAACCACAGUACGCCUCCGCUCUCUACCCUCCGCCCAGCCCAGCGCUGCCUGGGUGCUGCUUUAGGUGUCGCAACAGCAACACAGACUCCCCUUCUCCGGAAUCCAGUCUUCGUGCUCUGUGCGUCGUGUUUAUUGGAAACCGCCCAUCGCGUCUCGUGGUUCUUAGACGCUCACAGGGCAGUCCCCGUGUCUGGGGGGCCUCUCCCGGAAACGGCCCUGUCUUAAAAAAC
Molecule: long non-coding RNA, 1455 nt
Organism: Gadus morhua (Atlantic cod)
Lineage: Eukaryota; Metazoa; Chordata; Actinopteri; Gadiformes; Gadidae
Source: Ensembl